CUAUUCUUUUCUUAUCUUCUGCAGCUGGCAAAAUUUUACUCAAUGGCUUUUAAAGGACAAUUUUGAUCAUUUUAGUGCUUUAAUCCUAUUCUGAGCAGCUAAUUUUUAGAUUCUCAAGGAAAACAGCAUGUUUAUAUACAAGGAUAAUUAGGAAGAGGGGCCUUUGUUUCGGCGAAUUUGCAGUUGGUUGGAUUCAAACACCAGCCAGGAUGCAGAGGCGCAGAUGGAGUGAGCCCCCUAAGGUGUUCUUAGUUCACCUCCCAGCCCUCUGCCCUCAGCAAUGUCGCUCCUCUGCCUUGGGACUCUGGACAGACUUCAACUCAGGGUUGGAUUAGCAAGUCCUUGGACACAGUCUGGGAACGUGGAUGAGGCCCAUACUCCUUCCCCUGGGCAGGGGAUCUGGGCUGCCCCACCAGACAGGAGAGAUGGGGCUCGCUGCAAAUAAGCUUUUCAUGCUUGAAAUAUUCUACUUUGCUUUCCCGUUUCCCCUUCUAUCUGCUGCCUUUGCCCUUCCGUCUGGAGGCAGUGAAAGUGGCCGGAGCACCCCCAGCCUCUCCGUGCUCUCUGACAGCAAGCCGCCCCCCUCCACCUACCAGCAGGCACCUCGCCACUUCCACGUCCCAGACACUGGCGUAAAAGAUAACAUCUAUAGGAAACCCCCUAUCUACAGACAGCAUGCUGCCAGGCGAUCGGAUGCGGAGGAUGGAAGCUUGGACCAGGAUAACAGGAAGCAGAAGAGCAGCUGGCUGAUGCUCAAGGGGGAUGCAGACACAAGGACCAAUUCUCCAGACCUGGACACCCAGUCCUUGUCCCACAGCAGUGGGACCGACAGAGACCCUCUCCAAAGGAUGGCAGGGGACAGCUUUCACUCACAAUACAAGAUCUAUCCGUAUGACUCCCUCAUCGUCACAAACCGAAUUCGCGUGAAACUGCCCAAAGACGUGGACCGGACGAGACUGGAGAGACACUUGUCGCCCGAGGAGUUCCAGGAAGUGUUUGGGAUGAGCAUGGAGGAGUUUGACCGCCUGGCCCUCUGGAAGAGGAAUGACCUUAAGAAGAAAGCCCUGUUGUUCUGACGGCUGCCAGCCUGCCCCACUGGUGUGUGCCGGGCGCCGAGGCGAGGGGCCCCUGGCGAGAACCGCACACACCCCUCCCACACACCUUGCUCUGGCUUCUCUGUGUCGAUGGGGUGGGCGGGAGGGAGUCCCCCAGCAGGUGCGGCCCCUGCACCUGCCGGCGACACUCCUGCCGGUAGUUUAGGGCCGAGACGGCUAGCUUCACACCACCCUUCCCCACUGUGGCUUGGUGUCAGGGAGAGGCUGCAGAGUGGCCGUGUCGGGCAUCAGAUGGAGCACACAGGUGGCUGCAGCCCAGCCCACCUUCCCAGCGUUCUCGAGGUGCCCUGGCCCCGGUGCUAGGCACAUGGGGGACAGAGGUGGCCGGGACGUGAGCUGUGAGGCUUGUUGAUGACGGGUGCUGACACCAUCAUCGGGGGUGGGCACACGGCCCUUCGGAGCCUGGGCAGCCUGGCCUCACAGGCAGACUCGCAGACGGGGCAGUGAGCGUCUGGGACAGUGCCAAGAGUGGGGUGUGUGAUUUUUGCAGGCGUCUGUGUUGGGUCUCUUUAGGCACAAAUGUCAACAAGGGACAAGACAGGGCACCUUCCGCCAGCGCCCCUCCAUGCGCUGCGUUCCUCUUCCAGAUCGCCCCCUAGAUGCCUACACAAUAUCUUUAAAGUAACACAGAAGUUUUUAUUUUAUUAAAAAGUAUAGCCUACUUAAACGCGAGAUGACAUAUAUAGAGUUUAAUUUUACGGUCCCUCCGCAGGGGAGCGGCCUCCAGCCUUAUUCUCCACCGCUCGGAUCUGUGUGGUUUCAGUCUGUUCUUGGUGUGGUCCUCAUACACAGAGCUCCCUGUCUAGUUUCUUUUCUUUUUCUUUUUUCUUUUUCUCGUCACACAGGUAACCUUAAAGACAGACCCCUCUAAACAACGCUUUGUAAAUACAUGUGAGGUAUAGCCACCACUGUUUUCCUUGCUGUUAUUUUUCCAAGUCUUGGGGAGAAAACAUCCUCCUCUGAUGGCCAAAGCCCUGGAAUCAAGGGUUUCCACGUACCCCGCCUAAUACCCGACGUAGCUCUUGAUGCACCGUCCUUGUGCUGUGGCUGGCGGUGUCUCAGCCUGAAACAUAAACCCCACACGCCCCAGGAGCGAUGUGCUCCCUGAAACAGACAACCACACGCUGCUGGGGAGAGAAGGAUGGAGAUAGGGUGGAGAUAGGAUGGAGAUGUGGCUCUUCUCAUCUUUGAAGCCAGCAGGGCAUCCCAGAGCAGGAGGCUGGCCAGGCUCCCCAAGCGAAGGCGUUGGUGUCUGUCAUUAGGUGUGUGUUAGGGUGCAGCGCCGGCCGUCACAGGAUGCUGAUAAGCGCGCUGAGAGGUGGAUGAAACACCGAAGUCUGUUUCCCCAUCCGCAGUGGGUGUUGCCUCUUUGUGUGUGUCCCGAUGUUCCUGCCUGUGAGUCGGCCUUACUCCGUUUCCUUAGCGCCCAUGACACACCAAGUCCCGUUUCGCACUCGGCUUCUCACCCGCCCGGCUCGGCUAGGGAGGGGGACUUUUUAGCACCUAAUAUGCUUCCUGCCAUUGCGCAAUCUGAGCCUGAGCAACUGGAAACCCCCAUUUCUCAUUAGUGCAAUGUCAUAUCUGAUCCCAGGAAGCCUGGAAAAUAAAAGACGAUGCAUUAUAACUUGCGGAAGUACAAGA
RNAcentral lists this small RNA (2756 nucleotides) under Pan troglodytes (chimpanzee). RNAcentral's name for it is "retained intron". The record is from RNAcentral. Lineage: Eukaryota; Metazoa; Chordata; Mammalia; Primates; Hominidae.